CUCGAUGUGCGCGAGUCACUGGGUGCAAACCUAAAGGCGCAAUGAAAGUGUCACAGGGUGGGCCAUCUGGUCCCACCCCAGGGAGGAUGGGCACCCGUACGGCUUGCUCGUCGGGGCCCCGCACUCCCGGGGCGUCUCGUUCUCAUCACGAGUAGAGACGCACCAGGAGCGCACACGAUGGUACCCGAAAGAUGGUGAACUAUGCCUGGCCAGGACGAAGCCAGGGGAAACCCUGGUGGAGGUCCGAAGCGAUUCUGACGUGCAAAUCGAUCGUCUGAGCUGGGUAUAGGGGCGAAAGACCAAUCGAACCAUCUAGUAGCUGGUUUUCCUUCCGAAA
This 337-nucleotide ribosomal RNA is filed under the name Megymenum brevicorne. RNAcentral's name for it is "eukaryotic LSU rRNA". It matches the Rfam family "Eukaryotic large subunit ribosomal RNA", at positions 677 to 966 of the family's 3401-position model. Lineage: Eukaryota; Metazoa; Arthropoda; Insecta; Hemiptera; Dinidoridae. The record is from RNAcentral.